RNAcentral lists this ribosomal RNA (431 nucleotides) under uncultured bacterium. RNAcentral describes it as "partial 16S ribosomal RNA". It matches the Rfam family "Bacterial small subunit ribosomal RNA", at positions 338 to 795 of the family's 1533-position model. The record is from RNAcentral.
CCUACGGGUGGCAGCAGCGAGGAAUCUUCCACAAUGGGCGAAAGCCCGAUGGAGCAACGCCGCGUGGAGGACGACGGCCUUCGGGUUGUAAACUCCUUUCGGGGGGGAUGCAGUACCCUCAGAAGAAGCCCCGGCUAACUCUGUGCCAGCAGCCGCGGUAAUACAGAGGGGGCAAGCGUUGUCCGGAAUUACUGGGCGUACAGCGCGCGCAGGCGGACCGCCACGUGCCGUGUGACAAGCCACUGCUCAACAGUGGAGGGCCAGGGUACACGAGCGGUCUGGAGGCAGGGAGAGGGAUGUGGAAUGCCCGGUGGAGCGGUGAAAUGCGUAGAGAUCGGGCGGAACACCAGCGGCGAAGGCGGCAUCCUGGUCUGUCUGACGCUGAGGCGCGAGAGCGUGGGGAGCGAACUGGAUUAGAUACCCUUGUAGUC